AUGGGUAUGACCUUUGCAUCACAAUGGGAGGCUUGCACGUUCUACAAUAACUAUGCCAGAGAACAUGGAUUCAGUAUCAGAAAAGAUAAGGUGAAACGAGGAAAAGGUGUUUCAACCACUAUUCGGUAUAGGCGGUACAUUUUCUCGAGGGCAGGAAAACGACUGAGUAAAUUUUUAAACCCAGAGGGCCGUACCCGCAGGCUAAGACCCAAGACUCAUUGCGAGUGUGGCACACAUUUGGUCGUGACGUUGGACAAAGGACGUGGAGUUUGGUUCGUGGCAGCUUUUAUGGAUGAUCACAACCAUUUGUUGUCUAGAGCAGAUGAGGUGUUAUUUCUGCGGUCACAUAGUGUGAUGGGAGAUCACCAGAUAGCUGAGAUCUUGGCGAUGGAAGGAGCCGGGAUCAGAAAGCAUAUCAUCAUCGAUAACUUCAUUAGCAGGUAUGGUUCAUACGAUAAGUGUGGGUUUCUCAGACGAGACGUCUGCAUCCUAUGUUGCCGAGACAAAAUGAAGUUGAUUGCGAAGGGUGAUGCUAACAUGACAAUAAGGAUUAUGAGGAGUAGAAAGGAGAAGGAUCCAGACUUCUUCUUUGAGUACGUGCUCGAUAAGGAGGGCCGUUUAAAAAGCAUGUUCUGG
RNAcentral lists this ribosomal RNA (636 nucleotides) under Triticum aestivum (bread wheat). RNAcentral describes it as "partial small subunit ribosomal RNA". Lineage: Eukaryota; Viridiplantae; Streptophyta; Magnoliopsida; Poales; Poaceae. The record is from RNAcentral.